CCUACGGGGGCAGCAGUGGGGAAUAUUGGACAAUGGGCGAAAGCCUGAUCCAGCCAUGCCGCGUGUGUGAAGAAGGCCUUCGGGUUGUAAAGCACUUUCAGUGGGGAAGAAAGCCUUGGGGCUAAUACCCUCGAGGAAGGACAUCACCCACAGAAGAAGCACCGGCUAACUCCGUGCCAGCAGCCGCGGUAAUACGGAGGGUGCGAGCGUUAAUCGGAAUUACUGGGCGUAAAGCGCGCGUAGGCGGUCUGAUAAGCCGGUUGUGAAAGCCCCGGGCUCAACCUGGGAACGGCAUCCGGAACUGUCAGGCUAGAGUGCAGGAGAGGGAGGUAGAAUUCCCGGUGUAGCGGUGAAAUGCGUAGAGAUCGGGAGGAAUACCAGUGGCGAAGGCGGCCUUCUGGACUGACACUGACGCUGAGGUGCGAAAGCGUGGGUAGCAAACAGGAUUAGAUACCCGUGUAGUC
This 464-nucleotide ribosomal RNA is filed under the name Vreelandella stevensii. RNAcentral describes it as "partial 16S ribosomal RNA". It matches the Rfam family "Bacterial small subunit ribosomal RNA", at positions 338 to 795 of the family's 1533-position model. Lineage: Bacteria; Pseudomonadati; Pseudomonadota; Gammaproteobacteria; Oceanospirillales; Halomonadaceae. The record is from RNAcentral.